RNAcentral lists this ribosomal RNA (257 nucleotides) under uncultured bacterium. Its description in RNAcentral is "partial small subunit ribosomal RNA". It matches the Rfam family "Bacterial small subunit ribosomal RNA", at positions 26 to 285 of the family's 1533-position model. The record is from RNAcentral.
AGGACGAACGCUGGCGGCGUGCUUAACACAUGCAAGUCGAGCGGUAAGGCCUCUUCGGGGUACACGAGCGGCGAACGGGUGAGUAACACGUGGGUGACCUGCCCUCAGCUCUGGGAUAAGCCUGGGAAACUGGGUCUAAUACUGGAUAUUCACUUCUCAUCGCAUGGUGGGUGGUGGAAAGUUUUUUCGGCUGGGGAUGGGCCCGCGGCCUAUCGAGCUUGUUGGUGGGUGAUGGCCUACCAAGGCGACGACGGGUA